Photobacterium profundum SS9 is the source of this 116-nucleotide ribosomal RNA. The record is from Rfam. Lineage: Bacteria; Pseudomonadati; Pseudomonadota; Gammaproteobacteria; Vibrionales; Vibrionaceae.
CUUGGCGACAAUAGCACUAUAGAACCACCUGAUCCCAUGCCGAACUCAGAAGUGAAAUAUAGUUGCGCCGAUGGUAGUGUGGGGUCUCCCCAUGUGAGAGUAGGUCAUUGCCAAGU